UAGGGAAUCUUCGGCAAUGGACGAAAGUCUGACCGAGCAACGCCGCGUGAGUGAAGAAGGUUUUCGGAUCGUAAAACUCUGUUGUUAGAGAAGAACAAGGACGUUAGUAACUGAACGUCCCCUGACGGUAUCUAACCAGAAAGCCACGGCUAACUACGUGCCAGCAGCCGCGGUAAUACGUAGGUGGCAAGCGUUGUCCGGAUUUAUUGGGCGUAAAGCGAGCGCAGGCGGUUUCUUAAGUCUGAUGUGAAAGCCCCCGGCUCAACCGGGGAGGGUCAUUGGAAACUGGGGGACUUGAGUGGAGAAGAGGAGAGUGGAAGUCCAUGUGUAGCGGUGAAAUGCGUAGAUAUAGGGAGGAACACCAGUGGCGAAGGCGGCUCUCUGGUCUGUAACUGACGCUGAGGAUCGAAAGCGUGGGGAGCAAACAGG
This 429-nucleotide ribosomal RNA is filed under the name Gemmatimonadota bacterium. RNAcentral describes it as "Gemmatimonadetes bacterium partial 16S ribosomal RNA". It matches the Rfam family "Bacterial small subunit ribosomal RNA", at positions 355 to 776 of the family's 1533-position model. The record is from RNAcentral. Lineage: Bacteria; Pseudomonadati; Gemmatimonadota.